AAAUAAUAAUAAUAAACUAUAUAUUGAACUAUUAUGAAAUUUGAUUCCUUGAUUCUCAUGAAUAAAGUGUUAAAAAAUGGUCAAUCACCCUAGGUUUUUAUGUGGUAGUGUAAGAAUUCCCUUUGAUUACACAUUUCUAAUAUUUAUUAUUUUCAUGCAAUGAAUCAUCUCAAUUUCCUUUCUUCCUUGUAGGGCACAAAAAAUUUGUGG
This 210-nucleotide unclassified non-coding RNA is filed under the name Hevea brasiliensis (rubber tree). Lineage: Eukaryota; Viridiplantae; Streptophyta; Magnoliopsida; Malpighiales; Euphorbiaceae. The record is from RNAcentral.